RNAcentral lists this ribosomal RNA (468 nucleotides) under uncultured bacterium. RNAcentral's name for it is "partial 16S ribosomal RNA". It matches the Rfam family "Bacterial small subunit ribosomal RNA", at positions 28 to 507 of the family's 1533-position model. The record is from RNAcentral.
GACGAACGCUGGCGGCGUGCUUAACACAUGCAAGUCGAACGGAAAGGCCCUGCUUUUGUGGGGUGCUCGAGUGGCGAACGGGUGAGUAACACGUGAGUAACCUGCCCUUGACUUUGGGAUAACUUCAGGAAACUGGGGCUAAUACCGGAUAGGAGCUCCUGCUGCAUGGUGGGGGUUGGAAAGUUUCGGCGGUUGGGGAUGGACUCGCGGCUUAUCAGCUUGUUGGUGGGGUAGUGGCUUACCAAGGCUUUGACGGGUAGCCGGCCUGGGAGGGGGACCGGCCACAUUGGGACUGAGAUACGGCCCAGACUACUACGGGAGGCAGCAGUGGGGAAUAUUGCACAAUGGGCGGAAGCCUGAUGCAGCAACGCCGCGUGCGGGAUGACGGCCUUCGGGUUGUAAACCGCUUUCGCCUGUGACGAAGCGUGAGUGACGGUAAUGGGUAAAGAAGCACCGGCUAACUACGUG